Non-coding RNA from Manis javanica (Malayan pangolin), 365 nucleotides. The record is from RefSeq and is a predicted model, not a curated record. Lineage: Eukaryota; Metazoa; Chordata; Mammalia; Pholidota; Manidae.
GGGGAGAUCCAACAGGACCAAGAAGAAUGAGGCAGCUCGUCAGAUCACGAAAGAAUGCAGUAGCUGUGCAAGGCUAAGACCAGCCCCAAGAGGGCUGCACCCAGCAGGUACCUGGGAAAGGGGGAGGGCUCCAGGGAGGAAUUGGGAAAUAGACUUUACCGAAAUAAAACCAGGGAAGUAUGGAUACAAGUAUUUGCUGGUUAUGGUAGAUACUUUCUCUGGGUGGGUGGAGGCCUUUCCAACCCAGCAUGAGACUAGCCAAGUAGUAGCAAAAAAAUUAAUUGAGGAAAUCAUCCCCAGAUAUGAGGUCCCUGAAGCAAUAGGUUCCGAUAAUGGCCCGGCUUUCGUUAGCAAAAUCCUGCAAG